This 427-nucleotide ribosomal RNA is filed under the name uncultured bacterium. RNAcentral describes it as "bacterial SSU rRNA". It matches the Rfam family "Bacterial small subunit ribosomal RNA", at positions 355 to 775 of the family's 1533-position model. The record is from RNAcentral.
UGGGGAAUCUUGCGCAAUGGGCGAAAGCCUGACGCAGCAACGCCGCGUGAGCGAAGAAGGCCUUCGGGUUGUAAAGCUCUGUCAGGGGGAAAGAAGGCACCUGGGUUAAUAGCCCAAGGGCUGACGGUACCCCCAGAGGAAGCCACGGCUAACUACGCGCCAGCAGCCGCGGUAAUACGUAGGUGGCGAGCGUUGUCCGGAAUCAUUGGGCGUAAAGAGCGCGUAGGUGGCUUGUCAGGUCUGAUGUGAAAACCUGGGGCUCAACCCCAGGCCUGCAUCGGAAACCGGCUUGCUAGAGUCUGGGAGAGGAGAGUGGAAUUUCUGGUGUAGCGGUGAAAUGCGUAGAUAUCAGGAGGAACACCGGUAGCGAAGGCGGCUCUCUGGAACAGUACUGACGCUGAGGCGCGAAAGCUAGGGGAGCGAACAG